GCCUACGGGAGGCAGCAGUGGGGAAUCUUCCGCAAUGGGCGAAAGCCUGACGGAGCAACGCCGCGUGAAUGAAGAAGGCCUUCGGGUUGUAAAAUUCUGUCUUCAGGGAAGAAAAAAAUGACGGUACCUGAGGAGGAAGCCCCGGCUAACUACGUGCCAGCAGCCGCGGUAAAACGUAGGGGGCGAGCGUUGUCCGGAAUUACUGGGCGUAAAGGGCGCGUAGGCGGUUUACUAAGUCUUAUGGUGAAAACUAUCGGCUCAACCGGUAGCGUGCCUGAGAAACUGGUAGACUUGAGGGCAGGAGAGGGGAGUGGAAUUCCCAGUGUAGCGGUGAAAUGCGUAGAUAUUGGGAGGAACACCAGUGGCGAAGGCGGCUCUCUGGCCUGUUACUGACGCUGAGGCGCGAAAGCGUGGGGAGCGAACGGGAUUAGAUACCCUAGUAGUC
This 445-nucleotide ribosomal RNA is filed under the name uncultured Pelotomaculum sp. RNAcentral's name for it is "bacterial SSU rRNA". It matches the Rfam family "Bacterial small subunit ribosomal RNA", at positions 337 to 795 of the family's 1533-position model. Lineage: Bacteria; Bacillati; Bacillota; Clostridia; Eubacteriales; Desulfotomaculaceae. The record is from RNAcentral.